GCCGGGGUGGCCGAGCGGUCCAAGGCGAUGGCCUGGAGAGCCAUUGCCCGCAAGGGCGCCCGGGUUCAAAUCCCGGCCCCGGCGCCA
This 87-nucleotide transfer RNA is filed under the name Infirmifilum uzonense. Its description in RNAcentral is "Thermofilum uzonense tRNA-Ser". It matches the Rfam family "tRNA". Rfam says of the family: Transfer RNA (tRNA) molecules are approximately 80 nucleotides in length. Their secondary structure includes four short double-helical elements and three loops (D, anti-codon, and T loops). The record is from RNAcentral. RNAcentral also lists the same sequence under 1 other name. Lineage: Archaea; Thermoproteati; Thermoproteota; Thermoprotei; Thermofilales; Thermofilaceae.